This is a small nucleolar RNA of Pristis pectinata (smalltooth sawfish), 72 nucleotides long. RefSeq annotates it as small nucleolar RNA SNORD101. The transcript has a single exon. Lineage: Eukaryota; Metazoa; Chordata; Chondrichthyes; Rhinopristiformes; Pristidae. The record is from RefSeq and is a predicted model, not a curated record.
GUUGAAAUGAUGAAUUUUUAUGUCGGAUACCCCUUCACUCGUAAGAAUGAGUGAAAGAAAUUUGCUGACAAC